This 440-nucleotide ribosomal RNA is filed under the name uncultured bacterium. RNAcentral describes it as "partial 16S ribosomal RNA". It matches the Rfam family "Bacterial small subunit ribosomal RNA", at positions 338 to 795 of the family's 1533-position model. The record is from RNAcentral.
CCUACGGGAGGCAGCAGUGGGGAAUAUUGCACAAUGGGGGAAACCCUGAUGCAGCGACGCCGCGUGAGUGAAGACGUAAUUCUUUAUGUAAAGCUCUAUCAGCAGGGAAGAAAAUGACGGUACCUGAGUAAGAAGCCCCGGCUAACUACGUUCCAGCAGCCGCGGUAAUACGGAGGGGGCAAGCGUUAUCCGGAUUUACUGGGUGUAAAGGGAGCGUAGACGGCAGUGCAAGUCUGGAGUGAAAGGCGGGGGCUCAACCCCCGGACUGCUCUGGAAACUGUACGGCUGGAGUGCAGGAGAGGUAAGUGGAAUUCCUAGUGUAGCGGUGAAAUGCGUAGAUAUUAGGAGGAACACCAGUGGCGAAGGCGGCUUACUGGACUGUAACUGACGUUGAGGCUCGAAAGCGUGGGGAGCAAACAGGAUUAGAUACCCCAGUAGUC